UGUGGGAGCGAGCCUGCUCGCGAAGAAGCCGUGUCAGUCAAUAUUUUUGUCAACUGACACACUGCUUUCGCGAGCAGGCUCGCUCCCACA
Molecule: non-coding RNA, 90 nt
Filed under: Pseudomonas sp. WPR_5_2
Lineage: Bacteria; Pseudomonadati; Pseudomonadota; Gammaproteobacteria; Pseudomonadales; Pseudomonadaceae
Source: RNAcentral